AAUUCUAUAACCUUAUUCAAUAAUGAAUUCUACUUUAAAAAUUCGAAUACUAACAAAAUUAUGCUAAAUGAAAAAAAUAAUCAUAAAUAAACAACAAAUUGAUAAUACAAACAAUUGCAUUGAAUCCAAGAAGUAAAGGUUGAGAAAUGAGAAGAAAAUGAAAAAUAUAAAUAACAUAAAAUAAAGAAUAUAUUUUAACAAAAUACUAGAUAGUAAAAAUAACAAAAAAUUUAAAAUAAUAGAAAUAAAAAAUAAACUGAAACAAAAAAAUAAAAAUAGGAUAAAAGGAUGAAAUUAAGAAGCAAUCAGCUUAUAAUUACACCAUGUAAUUUUACUUGCAAUUCACAACUCCUUCCAGCUCCUCCCUGUGAAUUGGCAAGUAUAAUUAUCCUCUACCAAUUACACCAAAUUACCUACUGACCAAGUAAUUACAUGGCCAACCAAACUUGUCAAACUUUGCAAUUACAUCAAAUUCAGUUUGCAGGAUGACGUUCCAAACAGGGCCUAAGAGAAGAACCAAGUAUAUAUGCACCAUAUUAGAUUAAUUAUUACAAGUCAUAACAAUAUUUUUCAGAUUACAUUACAUAAUAAUAGAUUUUUAACAAAGCUUAAUAAAGUUUAAAAUAUAUUUUUUUAAAACAGAUUAAAAGGAUUGAUAACAAAUCUUUAAUUUUUUCCCUCUCUCAAUUCCUUAAUUAAAGGAUUGAUAACAAAUCAUUAGUUUUCUCCCUAAUUUUUUUCUAUUUUUUUUGCCUUGUAAUUCUUUCAAAUUCUCCACCUAACAAAGUAAAAAAUAUAUAUAUAUGGUAAAAGGAUUUAUAAAAAAUCCUUAAUUUUUCCCUAUUUUAUUUCCUUGAAAUAAUUUUUUUUUUAUAUCAAUUGAUCCUUCCAAAUAAUUUAAUACUAUUGUCUUUUCAUAAAUUUCUCUCAUAUAUUUAGCUUAACUAUUUCAAAUUUUUUUUUUUUUUUGGUGUUAACCCAUAUUUUAGAUUUCUUCCAUCCCAUAAACUUUCCUCAGAUUGUUGAAUUCCACAUUUGCUCCUUAAUAUUUUCAUACACUAAUAUUUUUUCUUUUUUGUUUCUUUGCAAUACAAAUUUAAUGCAUGAAUAAGAUUUUAUACAUUUAACAAUAUGAUUUUCAUGUUUUCAGUCAUGAUUUUUUAAUUAUUUUUUGUAGGAAAUAGCGAAAUCGAUAUAAUGAAUAAUUUUUUAUACGCAGUUAAUACAAAACCAUUGUUUGAAGUUUUUUUGUGAGUUUAUUAAUGAACAAUAUAAUUCGACAAGUAACUAACAACUCCAAAAGAUAUAACAAAUUUUUUUACAAAAUUUAGAACCCAUAAAAUAAAUGUACAUCUAACAAGUUAAGUUUAUCAUAUUUUAGAUACAAUGUAUACAUAAAAUAUGUUUGUAUGUAUUUCUGAUUCUUUUUAAUAGAAUAGGAAAUUCAGUGAACAAACUUCGCAUUCAUGAUACAUAUAAGUUUGUAUACAAAUUUCUUACAUACAAAUAAUAUUUUUUUUUUAAAAAAAAAAAGAAUGAAGAUACACCAAUUUAUAUACAAAUUUCAAAUACCUAGAAAAUAAAAGUAAAUAUAAACAAAUUAAAUAUAUCAUUUUUAUGCACAAUUUAUACACUAAAAUAUAUAUACACUUCAUACAUACUAACAUGUAAAAAUAAUUGAAAAAUGAAGAUUCACCAGUUCUUGUAUACAUUUCGGACCAAAAAAUAAAAACACAAUCAAUAAUUUUUCCUUUUAUUGUCUUUCUUAACAGAAGAUUCGCCUUGGAGUACAAUUUUUUGAACAUCACUUUUCGUAGACGAGGCUUGGAUUUCAAAUUUUGCAACUUCACUUGUUAGAUGAGGUGCCACUUUUUGUGUUGAAAAUUCGUUUCGCAGGAGAUUUGGUAAAACAACCGAAAUACCAUUUGUAGGGGUGCGCGGAUUUAAUAGAUCUAAUAGAUUUAUUAGGUUUCUAGUGAAUCUAUUUUUAUUUGUGCGUGGAUAUUUCUUAAAUUUUGUUUCUAUAUCUUUUAAUGAUUUACUUUUUUCGUAAGAUAUAUUCAUUAAUUAUUUUAUCCUGUAGUAAUUGCAGAGUUACAAAUUUCUGUAUAAUAAUUUAUCCUAUCUGUACUGUAAUGUAUAUCUAAUUCUAGAUUUUCAAUGUUAUUUAUUAUCUUGUGUUGUUCUUCUCGUAGUGAGUUUUUUAAAUUAUAUAAACUAUCACAUGUACUUUUAUCUAAAUUUUCUAAGGUUUUUUCUAUCCAUAUUAAUUUUUCUUUUAGGUUUUCCAUUAUUUUUCUAAUUCGGUUUCUAUAAUUAAUUUCAUUAUUUAGAUUUUCUUGAUUUUCUCUAGUUUUUCUAAUAUAUUCUAACAUCUCUUAAUCUGAAUAAUAUCCUUCUGGGUAAAUUUCUUCGUAUAACUGUUCUAGACAAUUUGUAAUUUCAAUUUCGUAGUCUAUUACUUUAUCUAAUAUUAUUUUCUUAAUAUCUAUAAUUUCUAUGUUUUUAAGUAUAUAUAAGAUUAAAACUUUAAGAUAAUCUAAAUGAUCUAUCUUUUAAAAUUGGUUUUAUUAUAAUAUUUUGUAGUUGUUUGUUUUAGCCUUAGUAGUUUUUGCAUAUUUUUAUUAAGAAAUUCUAUGUAUUUUAUAUCUUUAGUUUCCAUGUAUUUAUCUAUAUUUAUUUUUAUCUGUUUUUCUAGUAACUGUAUGUUUCUUAUAUCUAUUUCUAAAAAUUCCAUGUAACUUAUCAUCGUAAGUAUUUGUAAGAGUAGUUAGGUAGAUAUGGUAUAUAAUUUACUCUAGUCAUGUAAUAUUUACCAAAAGCUUUUUCUAAUAUGAUUUUUCUUAUAUCUGCUACUUUUAUAUCUCUAAGUGCAUACAAAAUAAGUAUUUUGAAUUUAUCUACCAUCACAUCAGAUAAAUAAUCAUUCAUUUUCAUAAAAUUGCUUUUUUCAAAAUAUUCCCUUCAACCAUGUACAUAACAAAAUAUGGUCAUCUUAGCUUACUAUAUACUAGAUUAUUCUUAAAUAAUAUGUUCUUCGGUCACUAUUAACAUGGUAAUCCGGAUACUUUUUCCCUUAAACAGCGCCUCUACUCUGGUUACUCCCCGCCACGGCUUCUUGCCUCAUUGGUUUCACCUUUAGGAUGGCAUAGUCCUUAGGGAUAUUUCUCCGUUUCCUCUUUGUUAAUAAACUUCUUAACAUAUUAUUCUUCGAAUAAUUCUACUAUAAAGUAACUAAUAUGAAUUAUUUUAUCAUAUCAUGAUUGUUGGGAAUUAUGAAUUUAGCUAUUCAUAAUCAUAAAUAAAUAUACCUGUUCGGGUAGUUUUGAUAUUUCUGAAGUUUGUUCCUCCAUAGCUUUUUCCAUUGAAAUAUGUUUAUUUAAUUAACUGAGUAAAAUAUUUGUUGUGGAGUGGAGAGA
RNAcentral lists this long non-coding RNA (3419 nucleotides) under Capsicum annuum. RNAcentral describes it as "long non-coding RNA (CANN_LNC004870)". Lineage: Eukaryota; Viridiplantae; Streptophyta; Magnoliopsida; Solanales; Solanaceae. The record is from RNAcentral.